RNAcentral lists this ribosomal RNA (503 nucleotides) under uncultured bacterium. RNAcentral's name for it is "partial 16S ribosomal RNA". It matches the Rfam family "Bacterial small subunit ribosomal RNA", at positions 29 to 523 of the family's 1533-position model. The record is from RNAcentral.
AACGAACGCUGGCGGCGUGCUUAAGACAUGCAAGUCGCACGGGACUAUUUGAGUAGCAAUACAAGAAUAGUUUAGUGGCGCACGGGUGAGUAACACGUGAAUGACAUGCCCUGCAGAGGGGGAUAGCCCAGGGAAAAUUGGAUUAAUACCCCAUGGUAUCGCGAGAUUAAAGGUGGCCGCAAGGCUGUCGCUGCAGGAUUGGUUCGCGCCCUAUCAGCUUGUUGGUGCGGUAACGGCUCACCAAGGCUACGACGGGUACCUGGUCUGAGAGGACGAUCAGGCACACUGGAACUGAGACACGGUCCAGACACCUACGGGUGGCAGCAGUCGAGAAUAAUUCACAAUGGGGGCAACCCUGAUGGUGCAACGCCGCGUGGAGGAUGAAGGUCUUCGGAUUGUAAACUCCUGUCAUCCGGGAGUAAGACCUGGCGAUGAAUAGUCGACAGGGUUGAUAGUACCGGAAGAGGAAGGGACGGCUAACUUCGUGCCAGCAGCCGCCGUAA